AGAUACAUUUGUUUGUUUGAAUUGAUAUUUCAGUUGUAGGCUAUAAUAGCGUAGGCCUAUGUCAUCAUAAUCAGUGUUAAUCAGCAUCACUUUCUUCACGUGUGUUAAUCUUCAAAUACAGCCGGGAACGUGCGCGCCUACUAAGCCUACUACUCAGUUUCCUCGUUUUUGUCAGCUAUUCAAAUGCAGUGUCAAACUUUCACACGGCGGACAGAAAGAGAGAAGUUGAGGACAAUAGAAGACCACAAAACUCGGGCAGUUGAACCAGGACUCCAGGAGGGCCUCUCUGUGUGAGAAAACCGACCUAAUGAUGAUGCAGUGUGGGAUGAGAGGGGACAUCAAUCACCGGUGAUUUUAAACGAUUGAGUUUUGGUCUGAAGACGGAGGCUGUGCCAGGAGCAUCUUCAUCAUCCUCCAUGUCUGAUGCCUCUUGUCCCUGCUGACCGCUGACGGCUCAACAUCCUCCAUCUGUUCUUCUGCUUGGAGCUUCACUCCCUUCUUCUUUCACUCAACCCUUCCUCCAUCCGUCUGUCUGUCCACCGGUCAUGAAUCCCUACAGACACACAAGUCCACCUGCUGACCCUCAUGAUAAUUCCCAAAAUCCAUCUCUGUCAGCCACCGUACCGUCUCCUCCGCUCAUCCAGACAGGUCAUAGCUCUGUGACAGUUUUGAGCCAUAACGUCCCUCACUAUCAGGCCUCCUCAGACCACAAUGGAGGAAACCUGGUCCUAUCACCAAACUCGGACCACUCCGCCUCAUUGCUUCCAGGGUCCAGCCUAGUUUCAGUCUCGUCUUUGGCUCAAAGUCCAUCUCCAGCUACCACACUGAACCCUUACCCUGCCCCCGGCACCCCCCCCUCCUGCCAGGUCUCGGUCAUCAUCCCGUCUCCAGACCUCCGCCCGUCUCCUCUGCCGUCUGAGUGCUCCGAGGACACCUGCCCGGACCUGGAGUGCUCCAUCUGCUUCAGCCAGUUCAACAACGUCUUCCGCUGUCCCAAGAUGCUUCAGUGCAAGCACACCUUCUGCCUGGAGUGCCUGGCACGCAUCAACGUCAAGUCGGCCGAGCCCAACUCCAUCCAGUGCCCGCUGUGCCGCGGCCUCACGCCCCUGCCCACUCUCGGCCUGCCCAAACUGGCCACAAACUCAGACAUGCUGUCCUACCUGCCGGCCGCCAUGCAGAGAGUCUACAGCAUCCGCUUCCUGCGCAACAAAGGGAAGCUGCAGGUCAAAAGGUCAUCUGAAGGUCCGCGGCAGUGGGGUCAGAGGUCGCUGACAUCUCUGAGGUCGAUGAACCUCUCUCUGGACGUGGGGCUUCCCAGCCCGCCUGCCGGGAGCCGCGGCGCCGAAGCGGGCGGCGUGGGCGGGGCUCUGUUCCGCCUGACGGGCCGGCCGGCGUGCCGGGCCUUCCUCCUGGCGUCCGUGGUGAUGAUGAUGGUGCUGCUGACGGGCAUCAUCAUCUUCCUCCUCACAUACAAAGCUGAUAAAAGUGGGUGACAUCACAUUUCUUCCUCCUGCUUUUAUUUUCAGUGGCGGAGAAGGUCACCGAACAGUAGAAUUCCACCGUCUGAAGUGAAAUAAAAAGCCAUCAUUUCUGGCUUUUAACGCUCCGAAGCCAAAAGGACACAAACGUCAACACUCAACUCAUGAGCUGAGAAAGUGAGAAGCGUAAAGACUUUCCACUCGUAGAUUUUUAUUGUUAAGUCCUUAAAAUGUACUCCCAAAAUGCAGCUGAGGUUGAAAGGUACAGUAUCUGUGAGACUGAGAAGCAGUGGCCUUUUAAUCUGUUUUACAGUACUUAAGUACAACUAAGCUUAAAAUGAUUUGCUAAAUGUAGCUGGACAUGAGAACCUUCUGCCUAAAGCAACAAAAUGGCGGUCGUGUAACAGCUGAGUUGGAAAAGCACUGGGAAGUGAGAAGCACUUUAAUCUUACCUACAGCCCUUAAGACUUCAAUCUUCAAUUACUUUAGGUUUUUUGGGAGGGGGGAAACGCACACAAUCACCACUUUUUAAUGUCUUGAAUUUCAUUUUACGAAAUGGCUGAUGUGAUGGUCAAGUGAUGGCAGAGAAGAUAUGUAGACGUGCUGUAUUAUUCUGAUUGAUCGCAGGUUUAUUAUAUUACAAGGUCAAAGUCUCUGGUGGCUCCCAUCCAGCUGCAGAUACGUCUAAAAUCAACUUGUGACUCCAGGGACUGAAUCUAAUUUCACUGUUACUUUGGGACAUAAAACUCUUAAAAUAUAAUGCGUAAGAAAAAACAAUACUACAUAAAGCUGUCUCCAGGCGGUGCCACCUUCUUCAUAUUUAAACUUCCUUUUGGCAGCUUUCAGCACUUUAAAGAGAGCCUAGCGACUGAAUUGUUACCUGCUUGUUUCUGUGUUCAGUCUUUCAAAGUGGCUGUUAUUUACAGGAGUCUUUCCUCCUGUUGCGCCUCUGCCCCUCGUAACCAAAUGCUGUAAACGGGAGCCAUGCAAAUAAAGAGUCAGUUACAGUCUGACACAGAGAGCACAGAAUUUCCAUAGAUGCUGGAAUAUUAUACAUGAUGGAAAUGAAUAUAGCUUCAUAGUGUAACUGAAUAGUUGACGCAAAUUACAGAAAUAUUUUUCCACUUCACCUCUAGAGCUGUCUCUCCAUGCAGAUAGUAUUCGUUUUUAUUCGUCCAGGUUUUCAGAUGAUUUUUGCCUCCACAUUGAUACAAUGGAGGAUGAUGGGAUUCCAUUUGAGGUGCUAAAAGCAUCAGAAUGCCUUCCCAUAAUUUAGUUUUCACAGUUUUAAAAAGUAGUCCUUGUUAAACUCUUGUUCCUGUUGAUUUUCCACAGUAACAGGGACCUUCUGUUGCAGUUUGAUUCAUUCUUUCUCAAGACUGCAAGCACCACAAAAUAAAUCCCAUCAUCCUCAAUGUCAUUGAUGUGGCGGCAGAAAUCUGAAAACCUGGACGAAUAAAACCAAAACUGUCUGCAUGUAUUUUGUAGUGGUGACUUUA
This is an RNA transcript of Sander lucioperca (pikeperch), 2977 nucleotides long. It is a transcript of the gene named RING finger protein 225, with no coding region annotated. Lineage: Eukaryota; Metazoa; Chordata; Actinopteri; Perciformes; Percidae. The record is from RefSeq and is a predicted model, not a curated record. The transcript has 4 exons.